Molecule: ribosomal RNA, 690 nt
Filed under: uncultured archaeon
Lineage: Archaea
Description: bacterial SSU rRNA
Rfam family: Archaeal small subunit ribosomal RNA
Source: RNAcentral
GAUAGAACAUUAUGCCUGGAAUGGUUUAUGUUUCAAAUAAUUUAUUGCCGUAGGAUGGGACUGCGGCCUAUCAGUUUGUUGGUGAGGUAAUGGCCCACCAAGACUAUUACAGGUACGGGCUCUGAGAGGAGUAGCCCGGAGAUGGGUACUGAGACACGGACCCAGGCCCUAUGGGGCGCAGCAGGCGAGAAAACUUUGCAAUGUGCGAAAGCACGACAAGGUUAAUCCGAGUGGUUUCUGCUAAAGGAACCUUUUGUCAGUCCUAGAAACACUGAUGAAUAAGGGGUGGGCAAGUUCUGGUGUCAGCCGCCGCGGUAAAACCAGCACCUCAAGUGGUCAGGAUGAUUAUUGGGCCUAAAGCAUCCGUAGCCUGCUUUGUAAGUUUUCGGUUAAAUCCAUACGCUCAACGUAUGGGCUGCCGGGAAUACUGCAAAGCUAGGGAGUGGGAGAGGUAGACGGUACUCGGUAGGAAGGGGUAAAAUCCUUUGAUCUAUUGAUGACCACCUGUGGCGAAGGCGGUCUACCAGAACACGUCCGACGGUGAGGGAUGAAAGCUGGGGGAGCAAACCGGAUUAGAUACCCGGGUAGUCCCAGCUGUAAACUAUGCAAACUCAGUGAUGCAUCGGCUUGAUGCCAAUGCAGUGCUGCAGGGAAGCCGUUAAGUUUGCCGCCUGGGAAGUACGUACGCAA